RNAcentral lists this signal recognition particle RNA (262 nucleotides) under human gut metagenome. RNAcentral's name for it is "Bacterial large signal recognition particle RNA". It matches the Rfam family "Bacterial large signal recognition particle RNA". From Rfam's summary of the family: The signal recognition particle (SRP) is a universally conserved ribonucleoprotein involved in the co-translational targeting of proteins to membranes. Archaeal SRP consists of a 7S RNA and homologues of the eukaryotic SRP19 and SRP54 proteins. The record is from RNAcentral.
CGCGCCAGGCGGGGUAGUAGCGGCACCCUGUACCCGAAAUCCGCUAUAGCGGGGCUGGAUUCCUUCCCUCGGAUUGGAAACAAUGGCACGCGUUGUAUGGGAGAAUGUUGACGGUCGGGUCCUGUGCAAUGUCAUCCUGUGAAUCAUGUCAGGCCUUGACGGGAGCAGCAUUAAACAGAACGUGGCAUGUGCCGCAGGGAAACCGGGCUGGAGUUCUUCUUUGCAAUGGCUCUGUUGAAUCCUUUUCAACGGAAGGUGCGCG